CUGCGAGUGAAGCGGGAAAAGCUCAAAUUUAAAAUCUGGCGGUCCUUGGCCGUCCGAGUUGUAAUCUAGAGAAGUAUUACCCGCGCUGGACCGUGUACAAGUCUCCUGGAAUGGAGCGUCAUAGAGGGUGAGAAUCCCGUCUCUGACACGGACUACCAGGGCUUUGUGGUAUGCUCUCAAAGAGUCGAGUUGUUUGGGAAUGCAGCUCAAAAUGGGUGGUAAAUUCCAUCUAAAGCUAAAUAUUGGCGAGAGACCGAUAGCGAACAAGUACCGUGAGGGAAAGAUGAAAAGAACUUUGGAAAGAGAGUUAAACAGUACGUGAAAUUGCUGAAAGGGAAACGCUUGAAGUCAGUCACGUCGGCCGGAAAUCAGCCUUGCUUUUUGCUUGGUGUACUUUCCGGUUGACGGGUCAGCAUCAAUUUUGAUCGCUGGAAAAAGGCUUAGGGAAUGUGGCAGCUCCGGCUGUGUUAUAGCCCUUUGUCACAUACAGCGGUUGGGAUUGAGGAACUCAGCACGCCGCAAGGCCGGGUUUCGACCACGUUCGUGCUUAGGAUGCUGGCAUAAUGGCUUUAAGCGACCCGUCUUGAAACACGGACCAAGGAGUCUUACAUGCCUGCGAGUGUUUGGGUGGAAAACCCGAGCGCGCAAUGAAAGUGAAAGUUGAGAUCCCUGUCGUGGGGAGCAUCGACGCCCGGACCAGAACUUUUGGGACGGAUCCGCGGUAGAGCAUGUAUGUUGGGACCCGAAAGAUGGUGAACUAUGCCUGAAUAGGGUGAAGCCAGAGGAAACUUUGGUGGAGGCUCGUAGCGAUUCUGACGUGCAAAUCGAUCGU
RNAcentral lists this ribosomal RNA (832 nucleotides) under Lepiota sp. Douwes 24-XI-1997. RNAcentral's name for it is "eukaryotic LSU rRNA". It matches the Rfam family "Eukaryotic large subunit ribosomal RNA", at positions 87 to 905 of the family's 3401-position model. The record is from RNAcentral. Lineage: Eukaryota; Fungi; Basidiomycota; Agaricomycetes; Agaricales; Agaricaceae.